Molecule: non-coding RNA, 209 nt
Organism: Pelobates cultripes (western spadefoot toad)
Lineage: Eukaryota; Metazoa; Chordata; Amphibia; Anura; Pelobatidae
Source: the annotation of a GenBank genome assembly
ACCGAGGACACAAUGCACACAACACAGGACACAAUGCACAACACAGUGCACACAAUGCACACAACACAGGACCCAAUCCACACAUCACAGGGCACACAAUACAGGACACGGUGCCCACAACAUAGGGAACAGCAUACACAACACAGGGCACAGCGCACACAACACAGGACAGAGUGCAAACAACACAGGAAACAGGAAACAGUACACAG